RNAcentral lists this ribosomal RNA (1429 nucleotides) under uncultured organism. RNAcentral describes it as "16S ribosomal RNA". It matches the Rfam family "Bacterial small subunit ribosomal RNA". The record is from RNAcentral.
CAGGCUUAACACAUGCAAGUCGAGGGGCAGCGGGGGUAGCAAUACCCGCCGGCGACCGGCGCACGGGUGAGUAACGCGUAUGCAACUUACCUAUCAGAGGGGGAUAACCCGGCGAAAGUCGGACUAAUACCGCAUGAAGCAGGGAUCCCGCAUGGGAAUAUUUGCUAAAGAUUCAUCGCUGAUAGAUAGGCAUGCGUUCCAUUAGGCAGUUGGCGGGGUAACGGCCCACCAAACCGACGAUGGAUAGGGGUUCUGAGAGGAAGGUCCCCCACAUUGGUACUGAGACACGGACCAAACUCCUACGGGAGGCAGCAGUGAGGAAUAUUGGUCAAUGGCCGAGAGGCUGAACCAGCCAAGUCGCGUGAGGGAUGAAGGUUCUAUGGAUCGUAAACCUCUUUUAUAAGGGAAUAAAGUGCGGGACGUGUCCCGUUUUGUAUGUACCUUAUGAAUAAGGAUCGGCUAACUCCGUGCCAGCAGCCGCGGUAAUACGGAGGAUCCGAGCGUUAUCCGGAUUUAUUGGGUUUAAAGGGUGCGUAGGCGGCCUUUUAAGUCAGCGGUGAAAGUCUGUGGCUCAACCAUAGAAUUGCCGUUGAAACUGGGGGGCUUGAGUAUGUUUGAGGCAGGCGGAAUGCGUGGUGUAGCGGUGAAAUGCAUAGAUAUCACGCAGAACCCCGAUUGCGAAGGCAGCCUGCCAAGCCAUGACUGACGCUGAUGCACGAAAGCGUGGGGAUCAAACAGGAUUAGAUACCCUGGUAGUCCACGCAGUAAACGAUGAUCACUAGCUGUUUGCGAUACACUGUAAGCGGCACAGCGAAAGCGUUAAGUGAUCCACCUGGGGAGUACGCCGGCAACGGUGAAACUCAAAGGAAUUGACGGGGGCCCGCACAAGCGGAGGAACAUGUGGUUUAAUUCGAUGAUACGCGAGGAACCUUACCCGGGUUUGAACGCAUUCGGACCGAGGUGGAAACACCUUUUCUAGCAAUAGCCGUUUGCGAGGUGCUGCAUGGUUGUCGUCAGCUCGUGCCGUGAGGUGUCGGCUUAAGUGCCAUAACGAGCGCAACCCUUGCCACUAGUUACUAACAGGUAAAGCUGAGGACUCUGGUGGGACUGCCAGCGUAAGCUGCGAGGAAGGCGGGGAUGACGUCAAAUCAGCACGGCCCUUACAUCCGGGGCGACACACGUGUUACAAUGGCGUGGACAAAGGGGAGCCACCUGGCGACAGGGAGCGAAUCCCCAAACCACGUCUCAGUUCGGAUCGGAGUCUGCAACCCGACUCCGUGAAGCUGGAUUCGCUAGUAAUCGCGCAUCAGCCAUGGCGCAGUGAAUACGUUCCCGGGCCUUGUACACACCGCCCGUCAAGCCAUGGGAGCCGGGGGUACCUGAAGUCCGUAACCGCGAGGAUCGGCCUAGGGUAAAACUGGUGACUGGG